This 257-nucleotide ribosomal RNA is filed under the name uncultured Rhizophagus. RNAcentral describes it as "partial large subunit ribosomal RNA". It matches the Rfam family "Eukaryotic large subunit ribosomal RNA", at positions 359 to 629 of the family's 3401-position model. The record is from RNAcentral. Lineage: Eukaryota; Fungi; Glomeromycota; Glomeromycetes; Glomerales; Glomeraceae.
GAAAGAUGAAAAGAACUUUGAAAAGAGAGUUAAACAGUACGUGAAAUUGUUGAAAGGGAAACGAUUGAAGCCAGUCGUACCUUCGGGUAAUCAGCCUUUCGGGUGCGAUUCUGUGGGGUUUGAGGAGCUUUAACACCUUCAUGCUUUGCAUAUUCGUGCUCUUGGGUGUACUUGCCCGUGUGGUUGGUUAACAUCAAUUUUGGUGGUCAUAAAAUGACUGGAGGAAUGUAGCUUCGAUCUCGUAUUGAAGUGUUAUA